AUUGAACGCUGGCGGCAUGCCUUACACAUGCAAGUCGAACGGCAGCACGGGAGCAAUCCUGGUGGCGAGUGGCGAACGGGUGAGUAAUAUAUCGGAACGUGCCCAGUAGUGGGGGAUAGCCCGGCGAAAGCCGGAUUAAUACCGCAUACGACCUGAGGGUGAAAGCGGGGGAUCGCAAGACCUCGCGCUAUUGGAGCGGCCGAUAUCAGAUUAGCUAGUUGGUGGGGUAAAGGCCUACCAAGGCUACGAUCUGUAGUUGGUCUGAGAGGACGACCAGCCACACUGGGACUGAGACACGGCCCAGACUCCUACGGGAGGCAGCAGUGGGGAAUUUUGGACAAUGGGCGCAAGCCUGAUCCAGCAAUGCCGCGUGCAGGAAGAAGGCCUUCGGGUUGUAAACUGCUUUUGUACGGAACGAAAAGGUCUGGGUUAAUACCCUGGGCUCAUGACGGUACCGUAAGAAUAAGCACCGGCUAACUACGUG
This 484-nucleotide ribosomal RNA is filed under the name uncultured bacterium. RNAcentral's name for it is "bacterial SSU rRNA". It matches the Rfam family "Bacterial small subunit ribosomal RNA", at positions 30 to 507 of the family's 1533-position model. The record is from RNAcentral.